Long non-coding RNA from Chinchilla lanigera (long-tailed chinchilla), 3124 nucleotides. RefSeq lists it as uncharacterized. Lineage: Eukaryota; Metazoa; Chordata; Mammalia; Rodentia; Chinchillidae. The transcript has 3 exons. The record is from RefSeq and is a predicted model, not a curated record.
CUCUCUAAUUUUGGGUGUUAGGUAUUUUGUCUCAGAAAGGAGAGAAAAAUAACCAAGACAAAAUUAAACCUCUUUGUCCUGAAAGAGUACUGCGUCAUCCCUCAAAGACGUUCGCUGCAAACAGUCCUUCGAAAUUAAAGAAACUAUCAGUGAGAAACUAUCUUAAGUUUAAUUUAAAAAUUGAUACUUCAUACAUUUGCUGGGUCUUCUGAGCAUGCUUGGAACAAUUUCGGUGUGUGAAUUUGUUUUUUCAACUAUAGUUUGAUAGUUUCUCCCAACCCUACAUGGAAGCUCCUUGAGAGUCCCUGCGCCUCUCCCCUGCGUCAGGGCUGACACCAGGUGUUCACCUUCCACAGAAAUUUAAUCAUGGGUAGGUUGUUCUUAGCCAUAGCUUCAUAAUGUAUUUGGUUCCAUCAUAUUUGACAAGGCUUUCAGCCUAGUAUGAAAUACCUAAUGACAAAAAUUUUUCAAGUUAGCAAGCACUUUUUAAAAUUUAUGAGAAUUUUUAAAGAUGUUCUUCUCUAUAAGAAGUCCUAAAACAUGUACAGCCCGCAUGUAGACUAAGGGAAAAAACCCUCCAGAGGUCAGGCAGUCGCUUUUGCAUAUUGCCACACCUAGCCAGAAGUGUUCAAGGUGAACCGCAGUUCCACAAGUUUCUGGAAUCAUUUUCUUCAAGAUGCAGACCAACAACUCCAGCUGUUAACAGCUUCACGACAUAAAAAGAAUGAGACAACGAUGCAUAGCUGUGAAUAAAAGGGCAGUGAGGUAUACUAGGAAAAUAUUUUGAUGCCAAAAAUAAAAAUGUAAUAUAGGGACUCUACAGGACUUUUUCAAUUGUACAAGCACUGUGCGAUACAAAUACAAUGCAAGCCACAUACAUAAUGUGAAAUUUCCUAGUACAUUUGGAAAAGUUAAAAUGAACAGUUGAAACUAAUUUUUACAACAUUCCAUUUAACUAGGUAUAUAAUUCCAGCUAGAAUAUUUUAAAAUCAUUAAUGAGAUUUUUUUUGUUUAUGUUUAGUCUUUUAAAACCCAAUUCGUAUUUUACAUUACAGGGCAUCUCCACCCACAUUUUAAAUUUUUAUCACAGACUUGAUCAGUAAGUGAUACCUCAGUCACAAAUUUAAUUCUUCCCACAAUUCUGUUUGCAAACCACUGUACUUAAAUCCCUAAAGGGUAUAGUUGAAAAAACAAAUUCACACACCCAAAUUGUUCCAAGCAUGCUCCGAAGACCCAGCAAAUGUAUGAAGUAUCAAUUUUUAAAUUAAACUUAAGAUAGUUUCUCACUGAUAAUACAGUACACACUGCUGGGUGUCACAUUCUUGAGAGCAGUGAGUGGCUACCUGUUCGCUCAGUGCACGGUCACACACUGAGAUAGUGAUCCUUAAGAAUGUUUGAAAUUUAACAAGCAUGUGUCGUUGCUGUUAUGUCUUACGCACAAGUGAGUAUACGCUGAGUCUGCUAUCUUUGCGUUCUUCAUACAUGCAUGACAGCUUUUUCCUUGGUCAACCUUCAUAGUCAUUCUACCCCUUCUUUCCAGCGUGUAAUUUUCAUUCCUGUCAGCUAUUUAACCCAGAAACUUAUUUUCUUCCCCUCUCUCCGAGUGACUUUGGGGGAGGAAGUGUGGAAGCUCAGAAGGAAAGUUUGAUUCUAGCAUCACCGUUUUCAACUCCCAACCCUACAUGGCAGCUCCUUGAGAGACCCUGCGCCUCUCCCCUGCGUCAGGGCUGACACCAGGUGUUCACCUUCCACAGAAAUUUAAUCAUGGGGAAAAAAAAAAAGGAAAUUCCGAGUACCCUUUUCCCCUGGUUACCUUCAUCAACGUGCAAAAUUGCUCUUUCCCAUAAAUGUCUUCUCUGGUGAAACCUACUGGACCCACUGCCAAUGCUGCGACUCCAUGCUGGAAUCCUUCAUAAUAAGUGAUGUUCUACACGACGCUGUGAGACACACUAAUAAUGAAAUACAAGUGAAACAUGUCAAUAGUCACACUUAAAAAACACAGCUAUCAUGAUACCUCACUCUGAAAUGAAAGCCUUCAUAGCAGGACUUUAUCAUUCUAAUCAUCAAAAUCUAAAGGAUUUAUGGAGAAACGAACAAUGGGGCAUAGAGAUUUUUAGAACAACAAUCACACUCCAGAGAUUAGGUUUCCUUCAGAAUUGCUACAUUUGACAACAAAAGACCCUGCAAGAAAGAAAAAAAAUCUGACAGUUUAGCUGCUAUUCACUCAUUCACUUUUGAAUUGUCAAAAUUCAAAUUUUGAAUUGUCAAGCAAUUUAUGCACCAUCCAAAUACAUGACAAGUGAUGAACAACGUGCAUCAUUUUGUGGCCAUUGUAGCUUUCAGGAAUAUAUGCCAAAUAAACCUUCCAAAUAUGUUAUAAAAAUAUAUGCUCUGGUAGAUGCAAACAUGUUCUACACCUUAAAUUUAGAAAUUAUCCUGGUACUCAGCCAUCAGGUCUUUAUUCAUGCAGUAAUAAACUGUAUGAUGUGAACAGACUUCUUAAACCUAUCAAAAAGUAACUGAAAUGUCCUAUUUGACAGUUGGUUUGCUAGUUAACCACUGAUGUUACAUUUUCUAAAAAAACACUAGAUGACCAGCACAGAAAUGAUUUGCAAGAACAAAGUGGAGAUUCCUGAAAAAUUUUUGCAAGUUUAUAAUAGAGAAAUGUAUAGUACAAUAUUUGGAUAUCAGAAAGACAUACAGUGGCCUUAUAUAUGGCGAAGAAAAACAGAGUAGUAUUGAUACUGUCAGUGUUACACUAUGAUGAUAAGAUUGAUAGCGAAUCCUCAACACAAAUGAAGCCAGAAAGGGUCACAUUUUACAACAAAACAAAAGGAGAGUAGAUGUUCUGGAUGAGUUAUGUAGCAACUAUGAUGUCUUUCAAAACAAAGCACUGGUCAAUAGUUGUGCAUUUCUCAUUCUAAACAUGUCAGGCAUAAAUAGUAUCAUAGUUUACAAAGAGAGUAACAAAUACCAUGGAGAGUUUCUUAAGAGAACUGGGACUGGAACUGAUAAAAGAUCAACUACAACAGAGGAAGAACAAUAUGUAUCUGCCCAAGGAACUCCAUGAAAGAAUUUUGGAGCAGACAGGUGAACAGAUAGGUGAAUUGAAAUAAAGAUUAUU